This 253-nucleotide ribosomal RNA is filed under the name Vibrio parahaemolyticus. RNAcentral describes it as "partial 16S ribosomal RNA". It matches the Rfam family "Bacterial small subunit ribosomal RNA", at positions 131 to 386 of the family's 1533-position model. Lineage: Bacteria; Pseudomonadati; Pseudomonadota; Gammaproteobacteria; Vibrionales; Vibrionaceae. The record is from RNAcentral.
CUGAUGUGGGGGAUAACCAUUGGAAACGAUGGCUAAUACCGCAUGAUGCCUACGGGCCAAAGAGGGGGACCUUCGGGCCUCUCGCGUCAGGAUAUGCCUAGGUGGGAUUAGCUAGUUGGUGAGGUAAAGGCUCACCAAGGCGACGAUCCCUAGCUGGUCUGAGAGGAUGAUCAGCCACACUGGAACUGAGACACGGUCCAGACUCCUACGGGAGGCAGCAGUGGGGAAUAUUGCACAAUGGGCGCAAGCCUGA